AUGGGGGAACACGGCAGACAGCAAGUAACGAUGACAGUAGACAUGGAUGGAUGGAUGGACGGACGACGGACGCGGCGGCCAGCGACGAGGCAGCUAGUAAAAGCUACUCUAGUUCUUGAGAAGGUAGUCGUCAAGGUCGUGGAGGGUCUUGGCGGCGUCCAUGGUCCAGUUCACCACCGCGCCGCCGCCGUCGGCGCCCUUGUCGGUCACCUGCACCGUCACCCUGAAGUUCUUGUAGAAGCUGACCAGCUCGCCGUCCACCACGCUGUACGACACCACCUUCUUCUCGUCGUCCGCCACCUCCACCUUCUCCUUGGCGAACGUCACCAUCGGAACCCCUGA
Molecule: ribosomal RNA, 342 nt
Filed under: Triticum aestivum (bread wheat)
Lineage: Eukaryota; Viridiplantae; Streptophyta; Magnoliopsida; Poales; Poaceae
Description: partial small subunit ribosomal RNA
Source: RNAcentral